RNAcentral lists this ribosomal RNA (464 nucleotides) under uncultured bacterium. RNAcentral describes it as "bacterial SSU rRNA". It matches the Rfam family "Bacterial small subunit ribosomal RNA", at positions 330 to 792 of the family's 1533-position model. The record is from RNAcentral.
CCCAGACUCCUACGGGAGGCAGCAGUGAGGAAUAUUGGUCAAUGGUCGGGAGACUGAACCAGCCAAGCCGCGUGAGGGAUGAAGGUACAGAGUAUCGUAAACCUCUUUUGUCAGGGAGCAAAGGGCGCCACGUGUGGCGUUUUGCGAGUACCUGAAGAAAGAGCAUCGGCUAACUCCGUGCCGGCAGCCGCGGUAAUACGGAGGAUGCGAGCGUUAUCCGGAUUUAUUGGGUUUAAAGGGUGCGCAGGCGGAGGUGCAAGUCAGCGGUCAAAUUGCGGGGCUCAACCCCGUACUGCCGUUGAAACUGCAUCCCUUGAGUGCGCGAGAAGUAUGCGGAAUGCGUGGUGUAGCGGUGAAAUGCAUAGAUAUCACGCAGAACUCCGAUUGCGAAGGCAGCAUACCGGCGCGCAACUGACGCUCAUGCACGAAAGCGUGGGUAUCGAACAGGAUUAGAUACCCGUGUA